This 109-nucleotide non-coding RNA is filed under the name human gut metagenome. RNAcentral describes it as "FMN riboswitch (RFN element)". It matches the Rfam family "FMN riboswitch aptamer (RFN element)". Rfam says of the family: The RFN element is a highly conserved domain that is found frequently in the 5'-untranslated regions of prokaryotic mRNAs that encode for flavin mononucleotide (FMN) biosynthesis and transport proteins. The record is from RNAcentral.
UAUCUUCAGGGCAGGGUGCAAUUCCCUACCGGCGGUAAAGCCCGCGAGCCGAAAGGCAUGAUUCGGUGUAACUCCGAAGCCGACAGUAUAGUCUGGAUGAAAGAAGAUA